Long non-coding RNA from Canis lupus familiaris (dog), 1000 nucleotides. RefSeq lists it as uncharacterized. The transcript is spliced from 3 exons. Lineage: Eukaryota; Metazoa; Chordata; Mammalia; Carnivora; Canidae. The record is from RefSeq and is a predicted model, not a curated record.
GUUCGGAGUGCUGGGAAAAGAUGUCAUGCUUGGAGCCCAUCUGGGAAAAAGGCAUCUGGAGCUGUUCCUUUAGUUUACGGAACUGACUACGGAGGAUGGCAAGUACAGAGGGUGACGGCCCAGAAAAGGGUCAAAGUACUAACAACGGGCUUGGUCGGCUCUGGCCCUCCAGGCCCCCCUCUCCGGGGCUUCGCGUGGCCGGGAAGCCUGAUGUCCCUGGUUCGGCAGUGGGAUCGGGACCAGUUUUCAGAGCAACAUAAGCCAGGGGAAGAACCCGUCGGCCCCCAUCCCCUGCAUACCCCACACAUCCUGUAUGACAGCGGUUCGAAACCUGGGCUUAUGUGUCCGUGGACGUCUCUAAUGCGUCUCCGCGGCCCCGGUUCUGCAUGCGGCGCGCGGGGAGCCCUCCAAAUGAGUGAAUACGGAUGUGGGAGCCUGCACGGUGCCAUCUACGGAACUUACUACGCUCCAAACGCUAAACCUUCCAAUCGUGUAAGGAAUAGAUCGUCAGCUCCAUCAUACCGAAGAAGAAACUGGAACUGAGAGGGAAGACGGCUUAGCCGAGGUCACUCAGCUGGUAAGACGGUGAGCUGAGAUGCGAACUCGGGUCUGGGCCACUUGCAGUUCAGCAGGCUUCCCCAAGCUCCUUCCCCUUCUCCUCCAAACGUGCACCGUCCCGCACCAAGUGUGCAGAGAGGAGGCACUCUGGGCAGCUGAAUCCCUCAACAGCUGGAGCUGGCACCCCGUUGUCCAGAUCCAAGUCAGACACUGCACAAUCCGGACUCCUCUGGCCAGCUGAAGUCCUCCUCUUAGGAGCCUAGGAUCCUGCUGGCUUUGAAAAACUGCUACUCUGCCAAGAGACUGUUGAGGUCAAGUUCGUUCUUUCUUUCUUUUCUUUUCUUUCUUUCUUUCUUUCUUUCUUUCUUUCUUUCUUUCUUUCUUUUUCUUUCUUUUCUUUUUUUUUAGAUUUUUUUUUUUAUUCAUGAGACACACAGAGAGA